UACGAAGGGGGCUAGCGUUACUCGGAAUUACUGGGCGUAAAGGGCGCGUAGGCGGCUUGGCCAGUCAGGCGUGAAAUUCCUGGGCUUAACCUGGGGACUGCGCUUGAUACUGCUAGGCUUGAGGCCGAGAGAGGGUGGUGGAAUUCCCAGUGUAGAGGUGAAAUUCGUAGAUAUUGGGAAGAACACCGGUGGCGAAGGCG
Molecule: ribosomal RNA, 200 nt
Filed under: uncultured bacterium
Lineage: Bacteria
Description: partial 16S ribosomal RNA
Rfam family: Bacterial small subunit ribosomal RNA
Source: RNAcentral